UUAAGCGACUAAGCGUACACGGUGGAUGCCCUGGCAGUCAGAGGCGAUGAAGGACGUGCUAAUCUGCGAAAAGCGUCGGUAAGGUGAUAUGAACCGUUACAGCCGGCGAUGUCCGAAUGGGGAAACCCAGUGUGAUUCGUCACACUAUCGUUAACUGAAUACAUAGGUUAACGAGGCGAACCGGGGGAACUGAAACAUCUAAGUACCCCGAGGAAAAGAAAUCAACCGAGAUUCCCCCAGUAGCGGCGAGCGAACGGGGAGCAGCCCAGAGUCUGAAUCAGCUUGUGUGUUAGUGGAACGGUCUGGAAAGUCCGACGGUACAGGGUGAUAGUCCCGUACACCAAAAUGCACAGGCUGUGAACUCAAAGAGUAGGGCGGGACACGUGGUAUCCUGUCUGAAUAUGGGGGGACCAUCCUCCAAGGCUAAAUACUCCUGACUGACCGAUAGUGAACCAGUACCGUGAGGGAAAGGCGAAAAGAACCCCGGCGAGGGGAGUGAAAAAGAACCUGAAACCGUGUACGUACAAGCAGUGGGAGCACCUUCGGGUGUGACUGCGUACCUUUUGUAUAAUGGGUCAGCGACUUAUAUUCUGUAGCAAGGUUAACCGUAUAGGGGAGCCGCAGGGAAACCGAGUCUUAACUGGGCGUUAAGUUGCAGGGUAUAGACCCGAAACCCGGUGAUCUAGCCAUGGGCAGGUUGAAGGUUGGGUAACACUAACUGGAGGACCGAACCGACUAAUGUUGAAAAAUUAGCGGAUGACUUGUGGCUGGGGGUGAAAGGCCAAUCAAACCGGGAGAUAGCUGGUUCUCCCCGAAAGCUAUUUAGGUAGCGCCUCGUGAAUUCAUCUUCGGGGGUAGAGCACUGUUUCGGCUAGGGGGUCAUCCCGACUUACCAACCCGAUGCAAACUACGAAUACCGAAGAAUGUUAUCACGGGAGACACACGGCGGGUGCUAACGUCCGUCGUGAAGAGGGAAACAACCCAGACCGCCAGCUAAGGUCCCAAAGUCACAGUUAAGUGGGAAACGAUGUGGGAAGGCACAGACAGCCAGGAUGUUGGCUUAGAAGCAGCCAUCAUUUAAAGAAAGCGUAAUAGCUCACUGGUCGAGUCGGCCUGCGCGGAAGAUGUAACGGGGCUAAACUGUGCACCGAAGCUGCGGCAGCGACACUAUGUGUUGUUGGGUAGGGGAGCGUUCUGUAAGCCUGCGAAGGUGGCCUGUGAGGGUUGCUGGAGGUAUCAGAAGUGCGAAUGCUGACAUAAGUAACGAUAAUGCGGGUGAAAAGCCCGCACGCCGGAAGACCAAGGGUUCCUGUCCAACGUUAAUCGGGGCAGGGUGAGUCGACCCCUAAGGCGAGGCCGAAAGGCGUAGUCGAUGGGAAACAGGUUAAUAUUCCUGUACUUGGUGUUACUGCGAAGGGGGGACGGAGAAGGCUAUGUUAGCCGGGCGACGGUUGUCCCGGUUUAAGCAUGUAGGCGGAGGUUCCAGGUAAAUCCGGUACCUUUUUAACGCUGAGGUGUGAUGACGAGGCACUACGGUGCUGAAGUAACAAAUGCCCUGCUUCCAGGAAAAGCCUCUAAGCAUCAGGUAACAUUAAAUCGUACCCCAAACCGACACAGGUGGUCAGGUAGAGAAUACCAAGGCGCUUGAGAGAACUCGGGUGAAGGAACUAGGCAAAAUGGUGCCGUAACUUCGGGAGAAGGCACGCUGAUAUGUAGGUGAAGCCCCUGCGGGUGGAGCUGAAAUCAGUCGAAGAUACCAGCUGGCUGCAACUGUUUAUUAAAAACACAGCACUGUGCAAACACGAAAGUGGACGUAUACGGUGUGACGCCUGCCCGGUGCCGGAAGGUUAAUUGAUGGGGUUAUCCGUAAGGAGAAGCUCUUGAUCGAAGCCCCGGUAAACGGCGGCCGUAACUAUAACGGUCCUAAGGUAGCGAAAUUCCUUGUCGGGUAAGUUCCGACCUGCACGAAUGGCGUAAUGAUGGCCAGGCUGUCUCCACCCGAGACUCAGUGAAAUUGAACUCGCUGUGAAGAUGCAGUGUACCCGCGGCAAGACGGAAAGACCCCGUGAACCUUUACUAUAGCUUGACACUGAACAUUGAGCCUUGAUGUGUAGGAUAGGUGGGAGGCUUUGAAGCGUGGACGCCAGUCUGCGUGGAGCCAACCUUGAAAUACCACCCUUUAAUGUUUGAUGUUCUAACGUUGGCCCCUUAUCGGGGUUGCGGACAGUGUCUGGUGGGUAGUUUGACUGGGGCGGUCUCCUCCCAAAGAGUAACGGAGGAGCACGAAGGUUAGCUAAUCCUGGUCGGACAUCAGGAGGUUAGUGCAAUGGCAUAAGCUAGCUUGACUGCGAGCGUGACGGCGCGAGCAGGUGCGAAAGCAGGUCAUAGUGAUCCGGUGGUUCUGAAUGGAAGGGCCAUCGCUCAACGGAUAAAAGGUACUCCGGGGAUAACAGGCUGAUACCGCCCAAGAGUUCAUAUCGACGGCGGUGUUUGGCACCUCGAUGUCGGCUCAUCACAUCCUGGGGCUGAAGUAGGUCCCAAGGGUAUGGCUGUUCGCCAUUUAAAGUGGUACGCGAGCUGGGUUUAGAACGUCGUGAGACAGUUCGGUCCCUAUCUGCCGUGGGCGCUGGAGAAUUGAGGGGGGCUGCUCCUAGUACGAGAGGACCGGAGUGGACGCAUCACUGGUGUUCGGGUUGUCAUGCCAAUGGCAUUGCCCGGUAGCUAAAUGCGGAAGAUAUAAGUGCUGA
RNAcentral lists this ribosomal RNA (2747 nucleotides) under Klebsiella aerogenes. RNAcentral's name for it is "bacterial LSU rRNA". It matches the Rfam family "Bacterial large subunit ribosomal RNA". The record is from RNAcentral. Lineage: Bacteria; Pseudomonadati; Pseudomonadota; Gammaproteobacteria; Enterobacterales; Enterobacteriaceae.